This 461-nucleotide long non-coding RNA is filed under the name Mytilus galloprovincialis (Mediterranean mussel). The record is from RNAcentral. Lineage: Eukaryota; Metazoa; Mollusca; Bivalvia; Mytilida; Mytilidae.
AUUUAAUCAAAGAGCUGAUAGCUCUGAGGUGGAAGAAGGUGAAUAAAAGGUAACCUGAAUUACCACAAAAGCAGCCCCACUUACCAAGGCUGCUUUGAUCCAUUAUCGUUAUGAUGUAUUUUUUUUUCUUCAAACAAGAAAAGGUCAUAAGUACAUGGAUUUCCCAUCCGUACAAUCAUUUUCUAUGUUCAGUGGACUGUGAAAAUUAGGUAAAAUCUUUAAAUUGGCAGUAAAAUUAAGAAGAUCAUAUCAUAAGGAACACAUGUGCACUAAGUUUCAAGUUGAUUGGAUUUCAACUUCAUCAAAAACUACCUCGACCAUAAACUUUAUAACCAGAAGCAGGACGAACGGACAGACCAGAAAACAUAAUGCCCAUAAAUGGAGCAUAAAAAUAGUAAGGCUUGUUACAUACCCGCCAACUUUUGAAAGUUCCCAUAGGGGUUUUUAGUGCACAACAACAA